GCAAAUUCUGCCACCCAUCUUCAAAGGCAGCGAGAGGUAGGGUUUCCAGGAGUUGCUGAUGCUGCUAGCCCAGGGGAAACACUGAGAGCCACUCCUCUCCAGUCACUUAGGAAGAAGAUGUCCAGGCAUCUUUACAUAUAACAAUAUUUUGCAUCAAAGAUUUUCAAAGAAUUUCACCAUUUGCACGUGUCAUACACUAGAAUGCAUUAGACAGUACAGAGGAUCAGCU
This is a long non-coding RNA of Camelus dromedarius (Arabian camel), 229 nucleotides long. RefSeq lists it as uncharacterized. The record is from RefSeq and is a predicted model, not a curated record. NCBI's taxonomy places the organism in Eukaryota, Metazoa, Chordata, Mammalia, Artiodactyla, Camelidae. The transcript has 3 exons.